CCUACGGGCGGCAUCAUUUAUUAAUAUUUUUCAAUUUCCUAUAUUCUUAACCAUCCAAUUCUCUUUAUUGAAGACUGCCCUACUGGUUGUAAACCUCUUUUGUCGGGGAGCAAAGAGAGUCACGUGUGACUCAUUGAGAGUACCCGAGGAAAAAGCAUCGGCUAACUCCGUGCCAGCAGCCGCGGUAAUACGGAGGAUGCGAGCGUUAUCCGGAUUUAUUGGGUUUAAAGGGUGCGCAGGCGGAGGUGCAAGUCAGCGGUCAAAUUGCGGGGCUCAACCCCGUACUGCCGUUGAAACUGCAUCCCUUGAGUGCGCGAGAAGUAUGCGGAAUGCGUGGUGUAGCGGUGAAAUGCAUAGAUAUCACGCAGAACUCCGAUUGCGAAGGCAGCAUACCGGCGCGCAACUGACGCUCAUGCACGAAAGCGUGGGUAUCGAACAGGAUUAGAUACCCCUGUAGUC
This 459-nucleotide ribosomal RNA is filed under the name uncultured bacterium. RNAcentral's name for it is "partial 16S ribosomal RNA". It matches the Rfam family "Bacterial small subunit ribosomal RNA", at positions 338 to 795 of the family's 1533-position model. The record is from RNAcentral.